RNAcentral lists this transfer RNA (72 nucleotides) under Camelus bactrianus (Bactrian camel). It matches the Rfam family "tRNA". From Rfam's summary of the family: Transfer RNA (tRNA) molecules are approximately 80 nucleotides in length. The record is from Rfam by way of RNAcentral. Lineage: Eukaryota; Metazoa; Chordata; Mammalia; Artiodactyla; Camelidae. RNAcentral also lists the same sequence under 2 other names.
GUGAGUAUAGCUCAGUGGUAGAGUGCAUGCUUAGCAUGCACGAGGUCCUGGGUUCAAUCCCCAGUACCUCCA